This is a long non-coding RNA of Gymnogyps californianus (California condor), 281 nucleotides long. RefSeq lists it as uncharacterized. Lineage: Eukaryota; Metazoa; Chordata; Aves; Accipitriformes; Cathartidae. The transcript is spliced from 3 exons. The record is from RefSeq and is a predicted model, not a curated record.
UGGAGAAAGAGAGCUACCCUCUGAGAGAUGGGGCAUUUUUAGUUUCUUUCUCCUGUUUGUUAUAAGAGAAUCAGAUGCGCCUUGGGACUCUAUAAAAAGUACUAAAAUCAAGAUGUGACAGCGUGUUCUGACAACGGUAGUCUGAGAACGAUGUGCUUCUUAUUAAAGAUGAAACUGGAUUGAAGAAGUCAGCAGGGUUCUGCUCAUGAUGCUUUCUAAAGAAGAUACCUGUGAAGAAUGAGGCAGUAGCAGUAAGUGAUUGCGUGAACGGCAAAAUAAUG